Long non-coding RNA from Rosa chinensis, 281 nucleotides. RefSeq lists it as uncharacterized. The record is from RefSeq and is a predicted model, not a curated record. NCBI's taxonomy places the organism in Eukaryota, Viridiplantae, Streptophyta, Magnoliopsida, Rosales, Rosaceae. The transcript has 3 exons.
UACUUGCAUGCUAAAGCUAGCAUGCUUGACACUCUUCUGAACUGUUACUAAUUCCUUAUGCCUUACAAUAUCUCAAAUUGACUGGUAGAAGCGAUGAAACUGUGGCAAUGAUUGAAGGUUAUCUUCGAGCAAAUAAAUUGUUUGUUGACUAUAAUGAGGACCCAACUCUAUCCUCUACUUGCAAAGUUCAGUGAGCAGAUGGUCUCACUCAAGUCAUUUUCAUGAAGACUAAUCUGAAGAAACUCUUGAAGUCUCCUCCUAGAGAGUCUUGAAGCAAGUGG